AUUGAACGCUGGCGGCAUGCCUUACACAUGCAAGUCGAACGGCAGCACGGGAGCAAUCCUGGUGGCGAGUGGCGAACGGGUGAGUAAUAUAUCGGAACGUGCCCAGUCGUGGGGGAUAACGUAGCGAAAGCUACGCUAAUACCGCAUACGAUCUAUGGAUGAAAGCGGGGGAUCGCAAGACCUCGCGCGAUUGGAGCGGCCGAUAUCAGAUUAGGUUGUUGGUGGGGUAAAAGCCUACCAAGCCUGCGAUCUGUAGCUGGUCUGAGAGGACGACCAGCCACACUGGAACUGAGACACGGUCCAGACUCCUGCGGGAGGCAGCAGUGGGGAAUUUUGGACAAUGGGCGCAAGCCUGAUCCAGCAAUGCCGCGUGCAGGAUGAAGGCCUCGGGUUGUAACGUAGCUUUUGUACGGUAACGAAACGGUACCGUUUCUAA
This 436-nucleotide ribosomal RNA is filed under the name uncultured bacterium. RNAcentral describes it as "bacterial SSU rRNA". It matches the Rfam family "Bacterial small subunit ribosomal RNA", at positions 30 to 465 of the family's 1533-position model. The record is from RNAcentral.